This 253-nucleotide ribosomal RNA is filed under the name uncultured bacterium. Its description in RNAcentral is "partial 16S ribosomal RNA". It matches the Rfam family "Bacterial small subunit ribosomal RNA", at positions 524 to 776 of the family's 1533-position model. The record is from RNAcentral.
GACGAACCGUACGAACGUUAUUCGGAAUCACUGGGCUUAAAGGGUGCGUAGGCGGUUUGGUAAGUCUCUUGUGAAAUCUAUGGGCUCAACUCAUAGUCUGCAAGGGAAACUGCCGGGCUUGAGUGUGGGAGAGGUGAGUGGAAUUUCCGGUGUAGCGGUGAAAUGCGUAGAUAUCGGAAGGAACACCUGUGGCGAAAGCGGCUCACUGGACCACAACUGACGCUGAUGCACGAAAGCUAGGGGAGCAAACAGG